CAUUACAAGAAGCCGAAAGGCUACUUAAAACCAUCGCGAACUAUUCCAAGUUGCUUCGGCGGUGCGGCUCUCCCCCCCGGGGGUCUGCCCCGUGCGCCGCCUCCUCCCCCCGGGAGCUGGCGGGGCGCCCGCCGGAGGUCACAAACUCUCAUGUAUUACAGUGGAUCUCUGAGUAAAAAACAAAUAAGUUAAAACUUUCAACAACGGAUCUCUUGGUUCUGGCAUCGAUGAAGAACGCAGCGAAAUGCGAUAAGUAAUGUGAAUUGCAGAAUUCAGUGAAUCAUCGAAUCUUUGAACGCACAUUGCGCCCGCUAGUACUCUAGCGGGCAUGCCUGUUCGAGCGUCAUUUCAACCCUCAAGCCCUGCUUGGUGUUGGGGCCCCACGGCUGCCGUGGGCCCUGAAAGGAAGUGGCGGGCUCGCUACAACUCCGAGCGUAGUAAUUCAUUAUCUCGCUUAGGGCGUUGUGCGGUGCUCCUGCCGUUAAAGCACCCCUUUAACUCAAGGUUGACCUCGGAUCAGGUAGGAAUACCCGCUGAACUUAAGCAU
Molecule: ribosomal RNA, 547 nt
Filed under: Ascomycota sp. PIMO_403
Lineage: Eukaryota; Fungi; Ascomycota
Description: eukaryotic LSU rRNA
Rfam family: 5.8S ribosomal RNA (bases 193-346)
Source: RNAcentral